GCUGGGUGUGGUGGCUCACAUCUGUAAUCUGAGCACGUUGGGAGGCUGAGGUGGGUGGAUCACCUGAGGCCAGGAGUUUGAGACCAGCCUGGCCAACAUGGUGAGACCCCAUCUCUG
Molecule: unclassified non-coding RNA, 117 nt
Organism: Papio anubis (olive baboon)
Lineage: Eukaryota; Metazoa; Chordata; Mammalia; Primates; Cercopithecidae
Rfam family: Metazoan signal recognition particle RNA
About the family: The signal recognition particle (SRP) is a universally conserved ribonucleoprotein. It is involved in the co-translational targeting of proteins to membranes.
Source: Ensembl